UUCUUCGUGAACAUAGCAGACUGCUCAGUAACACGUGGAUAACCUGCCCUUAGGACUGGCAUAACCCCGGGAAACUGGGGAUAAUUCCGGAGAGAUCAUAAAUGCUGGAAUGCUUUAUGAUUGAAAGGUUUCGAGCGCCUUAGGAUGGAUCUGCGGCCUAUCAGGUUGUAGUGGGUGUAAUGUACCUACUAGCCUACGACGGGUACGGGUUGUGGAAGCAAGAGCCCGGAGAUGGAUUCUGAGACAUGAAUCCAGGCCCUACGGGGCGCAGCAGUGCGCGAAAACUUUACAAUGCGGGAAACCGUGAUAAGGGAACACUGAGUGCUAGCAUUUAUGUUAGCUGUCCACAUGUGUAAAUAGCAUGUGAUAGCAAGGGCUGGGCAAGACCGGUGCCAGCCGCCGCGGUAACACCGG
Molecule: ribosomal RNA, 414 nt
Filed under: uncultured archaeon
Lineage: Archaea
Description: bacterial SSU rRNA
Rfam family: Archaeal small subunit ribosomal RNA
Source: RNAcentral